RNAcentral lists this ribosomal RNA (407 nucleotides) under uncultured Planctomycetaceae bacterium. RNAcentral describes it as "bacterial SSU rRNA". It matches the Rfam family "Bacterial small subunit ribosomal RNA", at positions 978 to 1382 of the family's 1533-position model. Lineage: Bacteria; Pseudomonadati; Planctomycetota; Planctomycetia; Planctomycetales; Planctomycetaceae. The record is from RNAcentral.
GAUUUGACAUGCACGGAUGGGCUACCUGAAGGGAUAGUCCUGCUUCGGGUGAAACGUGCACAGGUGCUGCAUGGCUGUCGUCAGCUCGUGUCGUGAGAUUGCCGGGUUAAGUCCCUUAACGAGCGAAACCCUUGUCACUAGUUGCCAGCGAGUUAUGUCGGGGACUCUAGUGAGACUGCCGGUGUUAAACCGGAGGAAGUGGGAUGACGUCAAGUCCUCAUGGCCUUUAUGUCUAGGGCUGCACACGUCCUACAAUGGUGCAUACAAAGGGAAGCAAACCUGCGAGGGCAAGCAAAUCCCAAAAAGUGCGCCUCAGUUCGGAUUGCAGGCUGCAACUCGACUCCAUGAAGUUGGAAUCGCUAGUAAUCGCGGAUCAGCACGCCGCGGUGAAUACGUUCCCGGGCCUU